UCCUACGGGAGGCAGCAGUGGGGAAUAUUGGACAAUGGGCGAAAGCCUGAUCCAGCCAUGCCGCGUGUGUGAAGAAGGUCUUCGGAUUGUAAAGCACUUUAAGUUGGGAGGAAGGGCAGUUACCUAAUACGUGAUUGUUUUGACGUUACCGACAGAAUAAGCACCGGCUAACUCUGUGCCAGCAGCCGCGGUAAUA
This 196-nucleotide ribosomal RNA is filed under the name Pseudomonas sp. LJHv3-4. RNAcentral's name for it is "partial 16S ribosomal RNA". It matches the Rfam family "Bacterial small subunit ribosomal RNA", at positions 337 to 525 of the family's 1533-position model. The record is from RNAcentral. Lineage: Bacteria; Pseudomonadati; Pseudomonadota; Gammaproteobacteria; Pseudomonadales; Pseudomonadaceae.